This is a ribosomal RNA of Cyanistes caeruleus (blue tit), 119 nucleotides long. Lineage: Eukaryota; Metazoa; Chordata; Aves; Passeriformes; Paridae. The record is from Ensembl.
GGAUGCGAUCAUACCAGCACUAACGCACCGGAUCCCAUCAGAACUCCGAAGUCAAGCGUGCUUGGGCGAGAGUAGUACUAGGAUGGGUGACCCCCUGGGAAGUCCUCGUGUUGCAUCCC